ACGUCCCACACUCCAGAUGGACACCUAACGUCAUCUCUCUGGACUUCUUGUCCGUAAGGUUUUGCUUUUUGGGAAAAUUGACCUUUUCCCCUCUCGCCCAGCCAGUAGGAGCUAGAGGUCCAAUAGCCCGCGAAGAUGGAAAAAGAGGUCGGGGCUUUUCGGGAGCUGUCCCUGGAGAAAACUGACCUUGGAUGAGACCAGUGUAUGCUCAGAGUUAGAGCGCCGUCCUAGGGAACAUUCCACAACUGAAAACAUUUCUCUUCCUUCUAGCUCGACCCAACCCUAGAAAUUUGAAAUAGAACAAAAGUGGUUCUGUUGUUUUUCCUUUUUAAUUAACAGAAACCAUUCAGCCUAUUUUUAAGUAAAUUUUAAAGGGGAAAAAACAGACUAAGGACAUCAAGGAGGGUGAUGGUGGCCUGUGUUUCCAGUCAUCUGAGACAAACAGGAGAUGGUGCUAAAACAUUUAUUAUCUUUCUUUGCCAUUUACUCAGAGGACUUCGGGAGAUCACAGACAAGGAAAAGGAUUAUUUCCUUUUUGAAAAUAUUCAAACCUGUGGAAGGCAUUGGAAAAAUUGCUGUCAGUGGAAAUUUAUUUCCCAAGCUCUUCUAACAUUUCAGACACAAAUAUUAGACUACAUUAUGGACUUUUACUUAAGUAGACACUUCUUGUCCAUCUUUUCUUCAUGCAGUAAAGAAAGAACAUUGUGUAGGAGCUCUUUAGAGAUGCUCUUAGGAGCAUACUUUUGUGGAAGAGUGGGAAGAAAUAAUCACAACUUAAUAUCUCAGUUGAUGUGUGACUAUGUUUUCAAGUGUACAGCUUGUGAAAGUAGGUUUGAAGAAGUACUUGAGAUAGUGGAUGACUGUUUUGUUGAGUUGAAAGUUGGCGUCACUGGCCUCCCUGUUUCUGAUUCCAGGAUCAUAGCUGGGCUUGUGCUUCAGAGAGACUUUUCUGUGUACUGUCCAGCAGAUGGUGACAUAAGAAUAGCGAUAGUAACAGAAACCAUUCAGCCUCUUUUUUCAGUUUCUGGAUCAGAGUUUAUUCUAAAUUCAGAAGCACAGUUUCAGACAUCUCAGCUUUGGAUUACAGAAAGAACAAAAGCAAUAGUGAAACAUUUACAGAGUCAGAAUGUAAAAUUACUCCUAUCUACUGUGAAACAACCAGACUUAGUAAUUUAUUGUGCAGGACUGAAUGGCAUAUCUGUGGUGGAGUGUUUAUCACAUGAAGAACUUUCUCUUAUCCAGAGAGUCAUUGGUCUUGCUCCCUUUGCACUACCAGAGGCCUCUUCUCAGUAUGAACUCUCGCACACUGCUUUGGUGAAAUUCUGUAAACCCCUCAUCCUUAGAUCCAAAAGGUAUGUUCAUCUUGGCUUGGUGAGCACCUGCUCGUUUACACCGCACUGUGUAAUUCUUUGUGGACCCGUGCAGGGUCUCAUCGAACAACACGAGGAUGCUUUACAUGGAGCAUUUAAAAUGCUUCGGCAGGUAUUUAAAGACCUUGAUCUAAAUUAUGUGACACAAACCAGUGACCAAAAUUGUACAUCAGGUCCUCGUAUGUAUGAGAAUAGUAGAGAAAAGAAUGAGUUACCAAAAAUUGUUAACAGCUCAGUACAAAGGUCGUAUCAGGACACUGUUGUAAAGAACAAAGGUGAACUGACAAAAACUCAAACGAAUUUAAAAGUAUGUUCAAAUUUGAUAGUUCCAAAUGUCAAAUUAGAGAAAACUGUAUUGUGUUCAGCACCAAAAGUGGCAGUAACAGAUUCAUACCAGACAGAAGAAACAUUGAGAUGUUCAUCCCCAAACAAAGGGACGAUAAUGGAUGACCAUGAACCAUAUAUUGAGAGUAAUUCUGCUAACUCAACAACAGAAAAUACUAGAAGAGAAAUUUCUUACGAAAAUUUACAGGUUACAAAACUUGCUAGAAAGGACAGCAUGUUACCACUGAGAUAUAAGUCACUAGAGAUGUGUUCUUCCCAAAGUUACUAUUUCUCAUCUAUACCAGCUGGUUGUGUUUUGCCUGUGGGUGGUAAUUUUGAGAUCUUAUUGCAUUACUAUCUUCUCAACUAUGCCAAAAAAUGCCGGCAAUCAGAGCAAACCAUGGUUAGUAGGAUAAUAGCUAAUGCACUUUUAGGCGUUCCCAAAAUCUUGUAUAAGUCUAAGAAAGGAAAUUACAGCUUUCCACAAGUAUAUGUAAGAGCUCUCCAGGCACUACAAACCAAUCAACCCAUGAUAAGCAACCAGACAGGUUUGGAAUCAGUUGCUGGUAAAUACCAGUUACUAACUUCAGUUCUUCAGUGCUUGACAAACAUUUUGACUGUUGACUUAGUAAUCAAUAUUGAGAGACAACCUCAGGAAAUUUAUGAUCAAGAUUCAGAAGAGGAGCUAUAAAAUUGGAAGCUUUUUAUUAAUCAGAGUUUUAAUCCAACUCAAGCCAUAAAACAAGGCAGGCAUGUGACCACUGAUUUUCAAGUUAAUUCAACCUAGUUAGGAAAAUAGAACUUUAAAGUCUAGAGAUACGUGAGGCCACCAGACAUUCAGAUAUGAAUAGUGUAGAUUGCAUUCAUUAUGGAACAGUUCUGAGGAGGAAGCCUGGAUGAGUGAAGCCAAGGUCUGAGCUCUACUCAUCCCUCCAGUCAUGAAGCAGGCCCACAAAGGGAAAUGGAAAGGCCCAUGGCUCCACAUCACUAACAGCUAAGCUGUCCUUGGGAAGAAGAAAUUCUUCAAGUCAGCAGCUUCUUUGGAAACCGAGAAAGCAACCUCCUGAAACUGUAACCUGAACCAGUCUGCAAAGAUUUUAUACUCGCACAGACAGACGAUUUUGUCUUUGCCACACUGAGCAUCUUUAGGAGGCAGCCUGGCCUGGUACAGAAACCAGGGGCUUCACAGUGCCCCCUGUGUUUGAUCCUGGAUCUGCCACUUACUAGUCACAUGACCUUGAACAAACCACUUAAACUUGCUGU
Molecule: non-coding RNA, 2957 nt
Organism: Odocoileus virginianus texanus
Lineage: Eukaryota; Metazoa; Chordata; Mammalia; Artiodactyla; Cervidae
Source: RefSeq, a predicted model, not a curated record